AUGAACGCUGGCGGCGUGCCUAAUACAUGCAAGUCGAGCGAACGGACGAGAAGCUUGCUUCUCUGAUGUUAGCGGCGGACGGGCGAGUAACACGUGGAUAACCUACCUAUAAGACUGGGAUAACUUCGGGAAACCGGAGCUAAUACCGGAUAAUAUUUUGAACCGCAUGGUUCAAAAGUGAAAGACGGUCUUGCUGUCACUUAUAGAUGGAUCCGCGCUGCAUUAGCUAGUUGGUAAGGUAACGGCUUACCAAGGCAACGAUGCAUAGCCGACCUGAGAGGGUGAUCGGCCACACUGGAACUGAGACACGGUCCAGACUCCUACGGGAGGCAGCAGUAGGGAAUCUUCCGCAAUGGGCGAAAGCCUGACGGAGCAACGCCGCGCGAGUGAUGAAGGUCUUCGGAUCGUAAAACUCUGUUAUUAGGGAAGAACAUAUGUGUAAGUAACUGUGCACAUCUUGACGGUACCUAAUCAGAAAGCCACGGCUAACUACGUG
Molecule: ribosomal RNA, 496 nt
Filed under: uncultured bacterium
Lineage: Bacteria
Description: partial 16S ribosomal RNA
Rfam family: Bacterial small subunit ribosomal RNA
Source: RNAcentral